This 3476-nucleotide long non-coding RNA is filed under the name Malus domestica (apple). RNAcentral's name for it is "long non-coding RNA (MDOM_LNC014471)". Lineage: Eukaryota; Viridiplantae; Streptophyta; Magnoliopsida; Rosales; Rosaceae. The record is from RNAcentral.
GUAAGGCUACAUACUUUAUACUGUAUGAUUAGUAACGGUACUUGAAUUGCUCAACUGAUCUUCCUUGUUUAUCUUGUUUCAUCUGCUGGUGUCACAUCCCGGCCCGGGUUCACCACAUCCCGGGCCCAUUCCACCACUGUAGCACGAUAUUGUUCGCUUUGGGCUUACCAUUCCCUCACGGUUUUGUUUUUGGGAACUCACGAGCAACUUCCAGUGGGUCACCCAUCUUGGAAGUGCUCUGGCCUUCUUCUCGCUUAACUUCGGAGUUCCUACAGAACCCGAAGCCAGUGAGCUCCCAAAAGGCCUUGUGCUAGGUAGAGAUGGGAAUAUAAAUUUAAGGAUCACUCCCCUGGGCGAUGUGGGAUGUUACAAUCCACCGCCCUUAGGGGCCUGACGUCCUCGUCGGCACACUUCCGGCCAGGGAUUGGCUCUGAUACCAAUUUGACACGUCCCAACCCCGAUAUUCUUUGAAUACCCGGAUAGGCACGUGCUGGCCGACACCUGAGGGUGACGAAAGCCAUUUAUUGAUUACAAGAGUAAUGAUUAGGAGGAACAUAAGCAUGAAUAGUCAUUAGAAUCUAAGAGUAAUAAACAAAGUUUAAGGAAAUGUCUAGAGUGCACAGAACGCGGUCUAAUUCAAGAUUUACAAAAGGAAAGAUCAUCUCGCCGACUCGUUGCCUGAGCCUUCACUGGAAGACCUUGAGCCUCGACCUGGUCGUUUAAAGGAAACAGAAUGUCUGGGACCUACAGAACUGGAAGGGCCUACUGAUUCUCUGGUACUCCGUGACCGGAAAUUUCGACUCCUCUGAUUUUGAUUCCGCUGUCUAUUCUGUCUCUGGGGCUGGAUCCAAGUCUGAGGUUGAUCUCGCAUGUUCAUAUCCCACUUAGAUUGUUCUAUACUCAGACUUAUCUCGAUUACUUCCUCGUAAGUUCUGGGUCUUUGAGCAGCUACCAAUGUACGGUACUACUGGUUCAAUGCAAGCAUCGCCUGAUCCAUCUGUGCCUGUGGAUUAUCAUAAGUCCCAUCGUGAUGCCUAGCCAAGCGCCUGAAAGUAUUGUCAAAUUCUGUGAUGCUGAGGUCACCCUGUCGGAACUCUAAAUACUCCUGCCUCUUCCUUAAUUUGUAGCUGGAGCUUAGAAAGUAAGUAAUAAUACGUUUCCUGAAGGCAGCCCAAGUCAUCCAAGAACUAGGUGGACGAGAUUCCUUCGUUAAUUUCCACCAACUCCUAGCAUCACCCUGAAUAAAGAAACCUGCAGUGUUUGCCCACUCAUUUAACACACUUCAUAGUCUCUAAAGUAUCAUCCAUUUUCUCUAACCACUGCUCAGCCUUGUCAUAAUUCCCACAGAUUUCAACUCAGUAACUCCAUAACUUCUAACGAUUUCUAAAUACGUCCGAUUCGGGCUAUGACCCUGGAAGAGCAUUCAUUAGUGCAGUGGUAAAUUGCUGGAUUCCUCCCAUUAUAGAAGAACGAGAUUGUCGAGGCACAUUCCCACCAGGAUUAGCCAUGAUUCUGACAAAAACAACAAAAUUUAGAAAGACUGAAAUUUACCAAAUUGGUAGAAAGAAACCCUAACCAUGCUCUGAUACCAAUUGUCACAUCCCGACCCGGGUCCACCACAUCCCGGGCCUGUUCCACCACCGUAGCACAAUAGUCUGCUUUGGGUUUACCAUUCCCUCACGGUGUUUUUGGGAACUCACGAGCAACUUCCCAGUGGGUCACCCAUCCUGGAUGUGCUCUGGCCUCCUUCUCGCUCAACUUCGGAGUUCCUACGGAACCCGAAGCCAGUGAGCUCCCAAAAGGCCUCGUGCUAGGUAGAGAUGAGAAUAUACAUUUAAGGAUCACUCCUCUGGGCGAUGUGGGAAUAUACAUUUAAGGAACCAUGCAGUCGAAGAAGCUACUUGGGAAACAGGAAUCAAUGAGGAACCUGUAUCCCUUUCUUUUCGUGUAAAUUCGCAAUUUUGAGGACGAAAUUUCUUUUAAGGGGGAUAGAUUGUAACAUCCCACAUCGUCCAGGGGAGUGAUCCUUAAAUGUAUAUUUCCAUCUCUACCUAGCACGAGGCCUUUUGGGAGCUCAUUGGCUUCGAGUUUCGUAGGAACUCCGAAGUUAAGCGAGAAGGAGGCCAGAGCACUUCCAGGAUGGGUGAUCCAUUAGGAAGUUGCUUGUGAGUUCCCAAAAACAAAACCGUAAGGGAAUGGUAAGCCCAAAGCGGACAAUAUCGUGCUACGGUGGUGGACCCGGGCCGAGAUAUGUCAGAUUGGUAUCAGAGCAUGGUUAGGGUUUCUUUCCACCAAUUUGGUAAAUUUCAGUCUUUCUAAAUCUUGUUGUCUUUGUCAGAAUCAUGGUGGGAAUGUGCCUCAACGACGUUGUUCUUCUAUAAUGGGGGGAAUCCAGCAGUUUACCACUGCACUAAUGAAUGUUCUUCCAGGUCAUAGGCCGAAUCGGACGUAUUUAGAAAUCGCUAGAAGUCAUGGAGUUACUGAGUUGAAAUUUGUGGGAAAUUGUGAGGAGGCUGAGCAGUGGUUAGAGAAAAUGGAUGAUACUUUAGAGGCUAUGAAGUGUCUGUUAAAUGAGUGGGCAAACACUGCAGGUUUCUUUAUUCAUGGUGAUGCUAGGAGUUGGUGGAAAUCAACGAAGGAAUCUCGUCCACCUGGUUCUUGGAUGACUUAGGCUGCCUUCAGGAAACGUUUUAUUACUUACUUUCUAAGCCCCAACUACAUAUUAAGGAAGAGUGUUUAGAGUUCCUACAGGGUGACCUCAGCAUCACAAAAUUUGACAGUACUUUCAGGCGCUUGGCUAGGUAUCAUGAUGGGACUUAUGAUAAUCCGCAGGCACAGAUGGAUCAGGCAAUGCUUGCACUGAACCAGGAGUACCGUACAUUGGUAGCUGCUCAAAGACCCAAAACUUAUGAGGAAGUAAUCGAGAUAAGUCUGAGUAUAGAACAAUCUAAGUGGGAUACGGACAUGCGAGAUCAACCUCAGACUUGGAUCCAGCCCCAGAGACAGAAUAGGCAGCGGAAUCAAAAUCAGAAGAGUCGGAAUUUCCGGUCGUGGAGUACCAGAGAAUCAAUAGGCCCCUCCAGUUUUGUAGGUCCUAGACAUUCUUUUUCCUUUAAACAACCAGGUCGGGUCUUCUAGUGAAGGCUCAAGCAACGAGUCGGCGAGAUGAUCUUUCCUUUUGUAAAUCUUGAAUUAGAUCGUGUUUUGUGCACUCUAGACAUUUCCUUAAGCUUUGUUUAUUACUCUUAGAUUUUAAUGACUAUUCAUGCUUAUGUUCCUCCUAAUCAUUAGUCUUGUAAUCAAUAAAUCGCUUUCGUCACCCUCAGGUGUCGACCAGCACGUGCCUAUCCGGGUAUUCAGAGAAUAUCGGGGUCGGGACGUGUCAGCUGGAAAAAUGAAAUUCCUUCACCCCCAUUCUGAUUUUUGAGAUGCAUUAUACAUAUAAGUUUUCUGGCAUAAAAAAUAGUACAACUGGC